GGAGGAAUACCCAAGUGGUCGAAGGGGUGGGCUUGGAAAGCUCAUAGUCUCUUAACCGGGAGCAAGGGUUCGAAUCCCUUUUCCUCCGCCA
RNAcentral lists this transfer RNA (91 nucleotides) under Bacillota bacterium. Its description in RNAcentral is "tRNA-Ser". It matches the Rfam family "tRNA". From Rfam's summary of the family: Transfer RNA (tRNA) molecules are approximately 80 nucleotides in length. RNAcentral also lists the same sequence under 1 other name. Lineage: Bacteria; Bacillati; Bacillota. The record is from RNAcentral.